AGUAGCUGCGUCCCAACCCGAUAGUUAAAACGUUCCACCUGGACGUAAACACAUCUCUUUUACGCCUUAAUGUGUCUCCUCUGAUUGCAAUCGCCAACCAUUGUUGUCCGGUAUAGACUCGAAGCAUUUCUAUGCAUACUAUGUCGGCAAAAUUCGUACGUGGUUUCCCCAUCUAAUUGGACCGUCGAUGCCACAUUGACCCAAGCUGUGUGAUGUGUGAAGCCACACAGCUUGGGUAGAAUAACGCAUUCCGCGCCGUACUCCUGAAAAGGGAAAAUAGCACAAAAGCGUGGUGCCUUGCCGACUACUUCACGAUUGAAAACGAUAACCGCGCAAAAAAGCUGUCAGUAUCUUUGCAAAGCAGAACGGGGCUCAGGGAAAGGACAAUUUGGAGAAGCAGCUAACUGUGCGUUAUUAUGUCAGACGUUCGUUAGCAAAAGUGACGCAACGAAAUAUAGAGAAAGGAAAGAGCCAGACCAGAUGACGGAAACAGUGUGUGGCGGAUUGAGAAACAUUCGAACGUUGAACUGAAUCAUCGCUUCGAAGGCAAAUCUAAAGGGUCGAGAGAUUUCCACAGCUCAAUGCUGAGGUCGAUCACUGGUGCCAUAACGAUACGGAUUGAAGCAGCAAAUUUCGGCCUUGGAAAUCCAGGUCUCACGGAGCACAACGAAGCGAGCAGAUUUCAAUUGAUGGACACGACCUCGCCGUUGUCGCCGCCAGCAACGCCGAGAGAACGAAGGGCGGCAAGGUCCUUAAAAAGACUCGCAGCUUCUCGUAUUCCAAUGCGCGUAAAUGGAUAUGGAUAGACCGGUUUGUUAAAAGCUGUAGUGGCUAACGAAUUGCUAAAAGACGCAUGAAAAAGCGUAUAAGUUACCUAGCUACCGCGCCAGCCAGGCAGGCCGUGAGCGAGACGACCAGAUCACAGCGAACGUCGGAUCUUGAGCGCGGACGUGGUUUGAGUCUACUACGAACGGCAAGCAUACAGCAGAACGUAAAAUGUAAUACAUUGCCGUUCCACUGAUAAGGUGGUCGGCUAUAGGAGCGGAAACUAAGGGUGUUACAGUCUCUUGUAAUAUCAGCCAACAGUCACGUGCUUGAAUUAAUUCUUAAUUUGCUUAAAAGACGUAAAUUGAUCUCCUCUGAUCCCCGCAAACGCUCCUUCCCAGGCUUCACUUCCCUCGUAUGUUAAAAUAUCAGUAAGGCACUGGUACAAAUGUAUCAAAAGAAAAGAAACCAAAAGGGUACCUCGACACGAUAUUACCUACCGUACACAGUAUACCGCAUUCAACAAACGACGGUAAAGCCAUUCUUCUCAUCUUCAUCUUUAUAUCUGCACAAUAGGUUCCUGACGUAGAGCUCACCGUUCGAGCUAUUCUUCUAUGUGCAAGCAGACACAAUGACGAGUAAGUGCAUCGUCUGUAGGCCAUGCUGAGCCAAGGCCCGGCUAACUGUCCUUUGUUCUGUCCAGUAUACAAGUCCACGAAUGUACACGAAUCCCACAAACAGACUUUACCCAAAAAAAUUACGAAUGUUUGCCAGUAUAAUAGACAAGCUGGCGGCAGCAGCAGCAUCAGUAGUAGCAGCUGCGUGUGACAUGCGAUAACAAAGGACAACUAUCGCACCGGAGACGUAUCUGGCCUGGUCAAAUAGAACGUUUCUGCAUAUGAAUUGCAGGGGGGUGAAGGGUGUUGUAGCAAAAUGAUAUUUCCACGUACAAAUGCUGGUUCAGGGCAGUUUGAUAAAGGUUGCUCAUUACAGGUGGACUAGGCCAUCUUAAGGUGUCAUACAAUAGCAGCAACACACAAUAACAAUAAAGACAGUAAAAGCGGCUGGUUCAGAGGCGGGGAUCGAUUCUUGAUCUGUGCCAGUAUCUGCCACUCUUUAUAGGUACCUUGACUUGUACAAGUCUUCUAAACUUGCUUGUAGGUCUCUCCUUGUAGGAGGGUUUGUGAAUUUGUAGGCGAGUGGCCACGGGCGCAUAAGCAACCAUAUUGGCUACAAGAGAUAUCGGAUGGCGUGUGGCACUAGUACGAAGUAUUGGCAUCUGCUAGAAGAACUUGUACUCCUGUAUGAAGGCUACCUGCAGCCGUUGCCCUAGGCAAUACUUCUAAUCAGAGCUGUCCUGACGAGCGCAGUGAGCUCCAAGGCGCAAUCAGCGCGGUAGAUCUGGAUAGGUGGGCAACCAACGCUGGGAAUGAGCACUAUUGAUCGUGAAGAGAUGUUUCCGUGCAACAACUAUGACGUGAUCAAAAUUCCAGGGGGUUUUUACGAUAAGACUUAUGUUGAUGCUCUAUGCACUAACUUGGUUCACUUCUGACGGGUGAACGUUUGCUAAGCACUAGUAAAGCCACUAAUAUAAAAACUCUCUUGGCUCUGUGAGACAAUAAAUUGACUCGGGCGUGUUUAUCAACGAAACGUUGGGAUAGGUGGUAGUUUGGGCUCAAUCCGGACGUCGAUAGACUUUACUUUGUGUUGGGAAAAAGCGUAUUUCUGACAUUUUUUUUUAGAGUAAAGACGUUGCCCCUGUAAGACAGUGCAGCAACAGUGACCUGUCAGCUACGAAACCUAAAGGUGUAUGCUAAGAUAAUGGACAAUCUCGUUUCGUGUUGUAUGAAUCAGCCAUUUAAAACAGCAACCCCGAGCCGGACGCUAGGUCAUUGUAGGUCGCAAUAUCAAUGAGCGGCAAUAAUUUCAAAAUGGUCGUACGGGUUGAAAGUGAAGCAACUAGUUAUUGAUGGUUGGUAUAUCGUACAUUGUACGUGCUGCAUGUAUGCAAUCCAUAUAUUAGAACAGUUUAUAUUGUAAACGGAGAACAGGUUAGAGUGAGGUAUGUUCGCAAUACGAACUUGAAUUUCUAAAUGAGAUAUCUAGUAAAAGUAGGUUUAAACAUGAAGCUAUAUGAUUGAUGGGAAGCAGCUUUCCUAGUCAACGAAAACCCUAUCUCUGAUUAGGUAGCGAAGAGAAUUAACUGCUAUAUUAUACUGCCGCGUCCAUUGCGGGACCGAAGCACGUUAGGAAGAACCAUCUCAAACAGAGAAGACCAAGACGCAGUAAGCACACUCAAGGACAGCUUAACUUAGACAUUACUAUUAGGAUGUUUAUUAAUACAGCCAGAUUGAGCUGAGGUCGUUAACCAUGCCGUGCUUUCGGAUAGCUAUUGCGUAGACGAAAUAAAAGUAAACAAGAAUUACAUCAAAAUUUGAUAGAAAUAUUUGGCCUAAUUGUCAAGGGAAAACGCCUGUUUUAUGUUGACACGAAUAGAGUCUGUUAGCUUGGGCCUAAUGAAUCGAUUCCGGUUCUCUAUAACUCGGAUUAGCUUUAGCUGAUCUUAACAGAAGCAGCAAUAAUAUAU
Molecule: RNA transcript, 3352 nt
Organism: Varroa destructor (honeybee mite)
Lineage: Eukaryota; Metazoa; Arthropoda; Arachnida; Mesostigmata; Varroidae
Source: RefSeq, a predicted model, not a curated record